RNAcentral lists this small nucleolar RNA (137 nucleotides) under Eurypyga helias (sunbittern). Its description in RNAcentral is "small nucleolar RNA snoR127". It matches the Rfam family "small nucleolar RNA snoR127". The record is from Rfam by way of RNAcentral. Lineage: Eukaryota; Metazoa; Chordata; Aves; Eurypygiformes; Eurypygidae.
UAGGAAAGAUGUUAACUUAAAAAAUUACCUAUGUGUUCUCACAGUCAAAAGCCAUUCCAAAUUAGCAUAGCAAUUACUGAACCUGCUCUCUAAAAUACUGCUAAUGAUAUCACAGGAACUGACUUUUCCUGCUCUUA